This 468-nucleotide ribosomal RNA is filed under the name uncultured bacterium. RNAcentral describes it as "partial 16S ribosomal RNA". It matches the Rfam family "Bacterial small subunit ribosomal RNA", at positions 28 to 507 of the family's 1533-position model. The record is from RNAcentral.
GACGAACGCUGGCGGCGUGCUUAACACAUGCAAGUCGAACGGAAAGGCCCUGCUUUUGUGGGGUGCUCGAGUGGCGAACGGGUGAGUAACACGGGAGUAACCUGCCCUUGACUUUGGGAUAACUUCAGGAAACUGGUGCUAAUACCGGAUAGGAGCUCCUGCUGCAUGGUGGGGGUUGGAAAGUUUCGGCGGUUGGGGAUGGACUCGCGGCUUAUCAGCUUGUUGGUGGGGUAGUGGCUUACCAAGGCUUUGACGGGUAGCCGGCCUGAGAGGGUGACCGGCCACAUUGGGACUGAGAUACGGACCAGACUCCUACGGGAGGCAGAAGUGGGGAAUAUUGCACAAUGGGCGGAAGCCUGAUGAAGAAACGCCGCGUGCGGGAUGAAGGCCUUCGGGUUGUAAACCGCUUUCGCCUGUGACGAAGCGUGAGUGACGGUAAUGGGUAAAGAAGCACCGGCUAACUACGUG